Molecule: transfer RNA, 66 nt
Filed under: Cryptolithodes sitchensis
Lineage: Eukaryota; Metazoa; Arthropoda; Malacostraca; Decapoda; Lithodidae
Description: tRNA-Ala
Source: RNAcentral
UAAGCUAUAAUUUAUAUUAAAAUAUAUGAUUUGCACUCAUAAAAUGUUCUACUUGAGCUAGCUUAA